This 12713-nucleotide long non-coding RNA is filed under the name Zea mays. Its description in RNAcentral is "long non-coding RNA (ZMAY_LNC002213)". Lineage: Eukaryota; Viridiplantae; Streptophyta; Magnoliopsida; Poales; Poaceae. The record is from RNAcentral.
UUAGAUUAGUAGCUAAUACAUCACACAUAUUAUUGAGACCAACUAGCAACAUAGAAAGCACAAUAGUGUACCAACAAUGGCAGCCAAAAUAUUUUGCUUCCUUAUGCUCCUUGGUCUUUCUGCAAGUGCUGCUACCGCAACCAUUUUCCCACAAUGCUCACAAGCUCCUAUAGCUUCCUUUCUUCCCCCAUACCUCUCACCAGCGGUGUCUUCAGUAUGUGAAAACCCAAUUCUUCAACCCUACAGGAUCCAACAGGCAAUCGCAGCAGGCAUCUUACCUUUAUCACCCUUGUUCCUCCAACAACCGUCAGCCCUAUUACAGCAGUUACCUUUGGUGCAUUUGUUGGCACAAAACAUCAAGGCACAACAACUACAACAACUUGUGCUAGGAAACCUUGCUGCCUACUCUCAGCAACAGCAGUUUCUUCCAUUCAACCAACUGGCUGCAUUGAACUCUGCUGCUUAUUUGCAACAACAACUACCAUUCAGUCAGCUAGCUGCUGCCUACCCCCAGCAAUUUCUUCCAUUCAACCAACUGGCAGCAUUGAACUCUGCUGCUUAUUUACAACAGCAACAGCUACCACCAUUCAGCCAGCUAGCUGAUGUGAGCCCUGUUGCCUUCUUGACACAACAACAGUUGUUGCCGUUCUACCUGCACGCUGCGCCUAACGCUGGCACCCUCUUACAACUGCAACAAUUGCUGCCAUUCAACCAACUUGCUUUGACAAACCCAACAACGUUCUACCAACAACCCAUCAUUGGCGGUGCCCUCUUUUAGAUUGCUUAUGAGUUAUAGUUCAAUAAUGAAGUUUUUUGGAUGAUGUUUGUGGCUUCCCAGAAAUAAGAAAGUACAUUUCUAGAUUCUUAUGUGCUUCUAGCCUCCAAAUGUGGUUGAUAGUUAUUUUGCUCUAAGAUCGGGAGUAAUGAGGUAUAAAUCAUCGUUGUGGUGUGCUACUCGGUUAAUUAAGCAUUAACACACACAAACAUGACGAGGAUGGUAUGACCUCCAGGGCCAGUAACACGCCGGCACCAGCAAGAUAUCGUGUGAUGGUUAUUGGCGCGUGUUGUUUGUUCGACCCAUUGCUGCAACGCAGACCGCCGCUAACUACCAUCUCCAAGAGACUCCUUCAAUUAAGUCCUAAAAAUCAAAAUAGGACAUGGUUUAAAUUAUUUAAAACCCACCAAUUCGUUUUACUCCAACCGUGAGUCUGAGAGCACCUAGAGGGGGGGGGUCGAAUAGGUGAUCCUGUAAAACUUGAAAUUUAACUCACAAAACUUGAUUAGGAGUUAGCACAAAUAAUGCCAAGUGGCUAGAGAGGAGUCUCAACAAAACACAAUAACCACAAGAGAUCAAUCACAGAGAUGGCACAGUGGUUUAUCCCGUGGUUCGGCCAAGACCAACGCUUGCCUACUCCACGUUGUGGCGUCCCAACGGACGAGGGUUGCAAUCAACCCCUCUCAAGCGGUCCAAAGACCCACUUGAAUACCACGGUGUUUUGCUUGCUUUACUAUAUCCCGUUUGCGAGGAAUCUCCACACUUUGGAGCCUCUCGCCCUUACACUUAGAUGAUCACAAAGAAGCACAGAGUAAGGGAGGGAUAAGCAACUCACUCAAGACAAGAAAUCACAGCAACACCACGCACACAAGUCGCAACAAGAGCUCACAACACAACUCAAUGAGUUCACAACUCAACUAGAGCUCUAACUGCUAUCGCAAGGAAUCAAAAGCGCGGAAUCGAUGUCUUAGUGCUUAGGAAUGCUUAGAGAAUGCUUGGUGUAGUCCUCCAUGCGCCUAGGGGUCCCUUUUAUAGCCCCAAGGCAGCUAGGAGCCGUUGAGAGCAAUCCGGGAAGGCAAUUCUUGCCUUCUGUCGCCUGGCGCACCGGACAGUCCGGUGCACCACCGGACACUGUCCGGUGCGGAUUUCCUUCCUUAUUUGGCGAAGCCGACCGUUGGCAGCCUUGGAGCCGUUGGCGCACCGGACACUGUCCGGUGCACACCGGACAGUCUGGUGCCCCCUCCCGACCGUUGGCUCGGCCACGUGUCUCGCGCAGCCGACCGUUGGCCCGGCCGACCGUUGGCUCACCGGACAGUCCGGUGCACACCGGACAGUCCGAUGAAUUAUAGUCGUACGUCGUUAAUUUAUUCCCGAGAGUGACAAGUUCGCCUGUGCCAGCCUGGCACACCGGACACUGUCCGGUGCACCACCGGACAGUCUGGUGCACCCAGACAGAGCUGGCUUUGGCUGAACAAGGCUAUCUCUUUUCCAAUUCGAUUUCUCCUGUUUCCAGCACUUAGACACAAUAAAUUAGUCACUAAAACAAUGUACUAAGUCUAAGAAACAUACCUUUAUACUUGAUUUGUACUUUGUCCACCAUUUGACACUUAGGCACUUGUGUUGGACACUAGAUCACCAAAACACUUAGAAAUGGCCCAAGGGCACAUUUCCCUUUCAAUCUCCCCCUUUUUGGUGAUUAAUGCCAACACAACAUAAGGCAAGUAGAACAAGUACGAAAUCAAUUCAAAUAAGAACUCAAAUUUGUUUUGAAUCAAAUUUGGCAUAUAUGGAUCAUUCUUUGCCACCACUUGGUUUGUUUUUGCAAAUCAACCUCAAAUUCCUAUCUCUAAGUCAAAAACACUUGUUGAGACAUAACAAGAGUUGUUCCAAGAGAAAUUGAUCAGAGAUUUCAAAAACUCCCCCUUUUUCCCAUAAUUAAGCCUUCUCCCCACAAGAGACCAACUUUUGACAAUAAGAGGCAAACAAGAGUAUUUUGACAAACAAAAACUCUAACUCUAUUUUUUUAAAAUUCUCAAGUGGUAGCUGAUCUAUUUAUUGCUUUGGCCUUAUUUUCUCCCCCUUUGGCAUCAAGCACCAAAACGAGAUCAAUCUUGGCCCUCGAACCCCAUUGCCUCACCAAAAUCUUCAACUAAGAGUUAAAAAAAGGCAAUAAGAGUACAAAGAUGAACUUGGAAUAAGUUACUCGUUCAUCGGAGUGCAGUGGAAGUCUUGCAUAGUCCAAGUCCACCUUUUCCCUUUCAAUCCUCCUUUGAGACUAAAAUAAGCAAACUCACGCACAUGGUUAGUCUCAAAGGGUCAAGUUGUAGCACAUCUCCCCCUAAAUUUGUGCAUCACUUGCAAAUGAACUUGUAAGGUCCGGGGAGUGCUUGUACAACUUGAGCACCAUAAGUAAACAACAAAAUGCAUAAGGAACAUGAUCAAAGGCAUAAACACAUGUAUGCUAUAAAUCAAUCCAAGUUCCGCGAAUCUAAGACAUUUAGCUCACUACGCAACUUGCAAAAUGUCUGCUCAUCUAAAGGCUUGGUAAAGAUAUCGGCUAGCUGGUUCUCAGAGCUAACAUGAAACACUUCGAUAUCUCCCUUUUGCUGGUGGUCUCUCAAAAAGUGAUGCCAGAUGUCUAUGUGCUUUGUGCGGCUGUGUUCAACAGGAUUAUCCGCCAUGCGGAUAGCACUCUCAUUAUCACAUAGGAGUGGGACUUUGCUCAGAUUGUAGCCAAAGUCCCUGAGGGUUUGCCUCAUCCAAAGUAGUUGUGCGCAGCACUGUCCUGCAGCAACGUACUCGGCCUCAGCGGUGGAUAGGGCAACAGAGGUUUGUUUCUUAGAACUCCAUGACACCAGGGACCUUCCUAAGAAUUGGCACAUCCCCGAUGUACUCUUCCUAUCGACCUUACAUCCAGCAUAGUCGGAGUCUGAAUAUCCAAUCAAGUCAAAGGUAGACCCCUUUGGAUACCAAAUCCUGAAACAAGGUGUAGCGACUAAAUAUCUAAGAAUUCGCUUCACAGCCACUAAGUGACACUCCUUAGGAUCGGAUUGAAAUCUAGCACACAUGCAUACACUAAGCAUAAUAUUCGGUCUACUAGCACAUAAAUAAAGUAAAGACCCUAUCAUAGACCGGUAUGCCUUUUGAUCAACGAACUCACCUCCUUUGUUGAGGUCGGUGUGUCCGUCGGUUCCCAUUGGAGUCUUUGCGGGCUUGGCGUCCUUCAUCCCAAACCGCUUGAUCAAGUCUUGCUUGUACUUGGUUUGAGAGAUGAAGGUUCCAUCCUUGAGUUGCCUCACUUGGAAGCCAAGGAAGUAGAUUAACUCGCCCAUCAUCGACAUCUCGAAUUUCUGAGUCAUCACCCUGCUAAACUCUUCACAAGACUUUUGGUUAGUAGAACCAAAUAAUAUGUCAUCGACAUAAAUUUGGCACACAAAGAGAUCACCAUCACAAGUCUUAGUAAAAAGAGUUGGAUCGGCUUUCCCAACCUUGAAAGCAUUAGCAAUUAAAAAGUCUCUAAGGCAUUCAUACCAUGCUCUUGGGGCUUGCUUAAGUCCAUAGAGCGCCUUAGAGAGCUUACACACGUGGUCGGGGUACCGUUCAUCCUCGAAGCCAGGGGGUUGCUCCACGUACACCUCCUCCUUGAUUGGCCCGUUGAGGAAAGCACUCUUCACAUCCAUUUGGAACAACCUGAAAGAAUGGUGAGCGGCAUAUACUAGCAAAAUGCGAAUGGACUCUAGCCUAGCCACAGGAGCAAAAGUCUCCUCAAAGUCCAAACCUGCGACUUGGGCAUAACCUUUUGCCACAAGUCGUGCCUUGUUCCUUGUCACCACCCCGUGCUCGUCUUGUUUGUUGCGGAACACCCACUUGGUUCCCACAACAUUUUUCUUGGGACGAGGCACCAGUGUCCAAACUUCAUUUCUUUUGAAGUUGUUGAGCUCCUCCUACAUGGCCAACACCCAGUCCGGAUCUAGCAAGGCCUCUUCUACCCUGAAAGGCUCAAUAGAAGAGACAAAGGAGUAAUGCUCACAAAAAAUUAACUAAUCGAGAUCGAGUAGUUACUCCCUUGCUAAUAUCACCCAAAAUUUGGUCGACGGGAUGAUCCCUUUGAAUCAUCGCUCGAACUUGGGUUGGAGGUGCCGGUUGCGCUUCUUCCUCCAUUGCAAGAUCAUCUUGUGCUCCCCCUUGAUCACACGCCUCCUGCUCAUCAUCUUGAGUUGGGGGAUGCACCAUUGUUGAGGAAGAAGGUUGAUCUCGUUCAUCUUGUUCCUGUGGCCGCACAUCUCCAAUCGCCAUGGUGCGUAUUGCGGCCGUUGGAACUUCUUCUUCAUCUACAUCAUCAAAAUCAACAACUUGCUCUCUUGGAGAGCCAUUAGUCUCAUCAAAUACAACGUCGCUAGAGACUUCAACCAAACCCGAUGAUUUGUUGAAGACUCUAUACGCCUUUGUAUUUGAGUCAUAACCUAACAAAAAUCCUUCUACAGCUUUGGGAGCAAAUUUGGAAUUCCUACCCUUCUUCACUAGAAUGUAGCAUUUACUCCCAAAAACUCGAAAAUACGAAACAUUGGGUUUGUUACCGGUUAGUAGCUCAUAUGACGUCUUCUUGAGGAGGCGAUGAAGGUAGACCCUGUUGAUGGCGUGGCAAGCCGUGUUCACAGCUUUCGACCAAAAGCGCUCGGGGGUCUUAAACUCUCCAAGCAUCGUCCUCACCAUGUCUAUAAGCGUCUUGUUCUUCCUCUCUACCACACCAUUUUGCUGUGGUGUGUAGGGAGCGGAGAACCCAUGCUUGAUCCCUUCCUCCUCAAGGUACUCCUCCACUUGAAGGUUCUUGAACUCGGACCCAUUGUCGCUCCUUAUCUUUUUCACCUUGAGCUUAAACUCGUUUUGAGCUCUCCUUAGGAAGCGCUUGAGGGUCCCUUGGGUUUCAGAUUUAUCCUGCAAAAAGAAUACCCAAGUGAAGCGGGAAAAGUCAUCAACUAUAACAAGACCAUACUUACUUCCUCCUAUACUUAGAUAAGCGACGGGUCCAAAGAGGUCCAUGUGAAGCAUCUCCAAAGGUCUUGAUGUGGUCAUCACAUUUUUGGUGUGAUGAGAGCUUCCCACCUGUUUGCCUGCUUGACAAGCUGCACAAGGUCUAUCUUUUUCGAAUUGUACAUUAGUUAAACCUAUCACGUGUUCUCCCUUUAGAAGCUUGUGAAGGUUCUUCAUCCCCACAUGUGCUAAGCGGCGAUGCCACAGCCAGCCCAUGCUAGUCUUAGCAAUUAAGCAUGCAUCUAGACCGGCCUCCUCUUUUGCAAAAUCAACUAAGUAAAGUUUGUCGUCUAAUACACCCUUAAAAGCUAGUGAACCAUCACUUCUUCUAAAGACAGACACAUCUACAUUUGUGAAUAGACAAUUAUAUCCCAUAUUGCAUAAUUGACUAACAGAUAACAAAUUAUAUCCAAGAGACUCAACUAAAAACACAUUAGAUAUAGAGUGCUCGGAUGAAAUAGCAAUUUUACCUAACCCUUUUACCUUGCCUUGAUUCCCAUCACCGAAUAUUAUUGAAUCUUGGGAAUCCUUGUUUUUGACGUAGGAGGUGAACAUCUUUUUCUCCCCCGUCAUAUGGUUUGUGCAUCCGUUGUCGAUAAUCCAGCUUGAACCCCCGGAUGCAUAAACCUGCAUGGCAAAUUUAGGCUUGGGUCUUAGGUACCCAACUCAUGUUGGGUCCUACAAGGUUAGCACAAAUAUCCUUAGGGACCCAAAUGCAAGUUUUGUCUCCCUUGCAUUUUGCCCCUAAUUUUCUAGCAACUAUCUUCCUAUCCUUUCUACAAAUAGCAAAGGAAGCAUUUAAAGCAUGAUAUAUUGUAGAGGGUUCAUUAACUUUCCUAGGAACAUUAACAACAUUUCUCCUAGACAUAUGAACAAAAUAUCUCCUAGACAUAUCUCUACCAUGCAUAUAGGAAGAACUAGAAGCAAACAUGGCAUGAGAGUUAAAAGCAUCAUAAGCAUUACAACUCCUAUAAGACUGUCUUCUAUCAUGGUACAUAAAAGCAUGGUUCGUUUUAGCACUAUUUGCCAUAGGGGCCUUCCCUUUCUCCAUGAUGGAGAUGGGUGCCUUAUGGCUCGUUAAGUCCUUGGCUUCCCUCUUGAAGCCAAGUCCAUCCUUAAUUGAGGGGUGUCUACCAAUCAUGUAGGCAUCCCUUGCAAAUUUUAGUUUAUCAAAAUCACUCUUGCUAGUCUUAAGUUGGGCAUUAAGACUAGCCAAUUCAUCAUUCAGUUUGGAAAUUGAAACUAGGUGUUCACUACAAGCAUCAAUGUCAAAAUCUUUACACCUAUUGCAAAUCAUAACAUGUUCUACACAAGAGUUAGAUUUACUAGCUAUUUCUAACUUAGCAUUCAAACCAUCAUUUAUGCUCCUUAAGCUAGAAAUUGUCUCAUGGCAAGAAGAUAGUUCACAAGAAAGCAUUUCAUUUCUUUUAACUUCUAAAGCAUGAGAUUUUUGUGCCUCUACAAAUUUGUCAUGCUCUUCAUAUAAAAGGUCCUCUUGUUUUUCUAAAAGUCUAUCCUUUUCAUUCAAGGCAUCAAUCAAUUCAUUAAUCUUAUCUACUUUAGUUCUAUCCAAUCCCUUGAACAAACUAGAGUAAUCUAUUUCUUCAUCACUAGACUCAUCAUCACUAGAAGAAUCAUAAGUGGCAUUGUUUCGAUUACAUACCUUCUUCUCCUUCGCCAUGAGGCAUGUAUGACGCUCGUUGGGGAAGAGGGAUGACUUGUUGAAGGCGGUGGCGGCGAGUCCUUCAUUGUCGGAGUCGAAUGACGAACAAUCCGAGUCCCACUCCUUGCCAAGGUGUGCCUCGCCCUUAGCCUUUUUAUAUGCCUUCUUCUUCUCCCUCUUAUUCCCCUGUUCCUGGUCAGUAUCAUUAUUGGGGCAGUUAGCGAUAAAAUGACCAAUCUUACCACACUUGAAGCAUGAGCGCUUCCCCUUUGUCUUGGUCUUGCUUGGCUGCCCCUUGUGACCCUUUAGCGCUGUCUUGAAGCGCUUGAUGAUGAGAGCCAUCUCUUCAUCAUUUAGCCCUGCCGCCUCAACUUGUGCCACCUUGAUAGGUAGCGCCUCUUUGCUUCUUGUUGCCUUGAGAGCAAAGGGUUGAUGCUCAUUGAUUGGACCAUUCAAUGCGUCGUCCACGUAUCUCGCCUCCUUGAUCAUCAUUCGCCCGCUCACGAAUUUCCCAAGAACUUCCUCGGGCGACAUCUUGGUGUACCUAGGAUUUUCACGAAUAUUGUUCACCAGAUGUGGAUCAAGUACAGUAAAGGACCUUAGCAUUAGGCGAACGACGUCGUGGUCCGUCCAUCGCGUGCUUCCGUAGCUCCUUAUUUUGUUGAUGAGGGUCUUGAGCCGGUUGUAUGUUUGGGUUGGCUCCUCGCCCCUUAUCAUUGCAAAUCUCCCGAGCUCGCCCUCUACCAACUCCAUCUUGGUGAGCAAGGUGACGUCAUUCCCCUCAUGAGAGAUCUUGAGGGUGUCCCAGAUCUGCUUGGCAUUGUCCAAGCCGCUCACCUUAUGGUACUCGUCCCUGCACAAAGAGGCUAACAACACAGUAGUAGCUUGUGCAUUCUUAUGAAUCUGUUCAUUAAUGAAUAUAGGACUAUCCGAGCUAUCAAAUUUCAUUCCAUUCUCAACAAUCUCCCAUAUACUUGGAUGGAGAGAGAACAGAUGACUACGCAUUUUGUGACUCCAAAAUCCGUAGUCCUCCACAUCAAAGUGUGGAGGUUUGCCAAGAGGGAUGGAAAGCAAAUGUGCAUUUGAGCUAUGCGGAAUACGGGAGUAAUCGAAAGAAAAGUUCGAAUUAACCGUCUUUCGUUUGUCGUAGUCGUUGUCGUCGUUGUCCUUUUGGGAAGAAGUGGACUCAUCGCUGUCGUCGUAGUAGACAAUCUCCUUGAUGCGUCUUGUCUUCUUCUUCUUCCCAUCUUUGCAUUUGUGGCCCGAGCCCGAGUCGGUAGGCUUGUCAUCCUUGGGCUCAUUGACGAAGGACUCCUUCUCCUUAUCAUUGAUCACAAUCCCCUUGCCCUUAGGAUCCAUCUCUUCGGGCGGUUAGUCCUUUUCUUGAAGAGAACGGCUCCGAUACCAAUUGAGAGCACCUAGAGGGGGGUGAAUAGGUGAUCCUAUAAAACUUGAAAUUUAACUCACAAAACUUGAUUAGGAGUUAGCACAAAUAAUGCCAAGUGGCUAGAGAGGAGUCUCAACAAAACAUAAUAACCACAAGAGAUCAAUCACAGAGAUGGCACAGUGGUUUAUCCCGUGGUUCGGCCAAGACCAACGCUUGCCUACUCCACAUUGUGGCGUCCCAACGGACGAGGGUUGCAAUCAACCCCUCUCAAGCGGUCCAAAGACCCACUUGAAUACCACGGUGUUUUGCUUGCUUUACUAUAUCCCGUUUGCGAGGAAUCUCCACACUUUGGAGCCUCUCGCCCUUACACUUAGAUGAUCACAAAGAAGCACGAAGUAAGGGAAGGAUAAGCAACACACUCAAGACAAGAAAUCACAGCAACACCACGCACACAAGUCGCAACAAGAGCUCACAACACAACUCAAUGAGUUCACAACUCAACUAGAGCUCUAACUGCUAUCGCAAGGAAUCAAAAGCGCGGAAUCGAUGUCUUAGUGCUUAGGAAUGCUUAGAGAAUGCUUGGUGUAGUCCUCCAUGUGCCUAGGGGUCCCUUUUAUAGCCCCAAGGCAGCUAGGAGCCAUUGAGAGCAAUCCGGGAAGGCAAUUCUUGCCUUCUGUCGCCUGGCGCACCGGACAGUCCGGUGCACCACCGGACACUGUCCGGUGCGGAUUUCCUUCCUUAUUUGGCGAAGCCGACCGUUGGCAGCCUUGGAGCCGUUGGCGCACCGGACACUGUCCGGUGCACACCGGACAGUCCGGUGCCCCCUCCCGACCGUUGGCUCAGCCACGUGUCUCGCGCAGAUCGCGCAGCCGACCGUUGGCCCGGUUGACCGUUGGCUCACCGAACAGUCCGAUGAAUUAUAGUCGUACGCCGUUAAUUUAUUCCCAAGAGCGGCAAGUUCGCCUGUGCCAGCCUGGCACACCGGACACAGUCGGGUGCACCCAGACAGAGCUGACUUUGGCUGAACAAGGCCAUCUCUUUUCCAAUUCGAUUUCUCCUGUUUCCAGCACUAAGACACAAUACAUUAGUCACUAAAACAAUGUACUAAGUCUGAGAAACAUACCUUUAUACUUGAUUUGUACUUUGUCCACCAUUUGACACUUAGGCACUUGUGUUGGACACUAGAUCACCAAAACACUUAGAAAUGGCCCAACAACACAUUUCCCUUUCAGAGUCAUAUAAUCAUGUUACUUAGUUAAUUCUUCGCUUCACCGCAACAAUGUCGUCGUCGCUCUAUCAUCGUCCAUGUUCGGUCAGGUGAGGUGAGGUGAGGUGUAGUCUCUAAUAUACUUAAAGCACCAGUUUCAACGGUCGUCCUACGCCAUCUUUUUACAAAAAGUCCCUACAUUUCUUUUAAAUCAAUUCAGCGUAAAAUGUUAAAAAGCGGCGCCAGAGACAAUCUUUCACAUGAUCAUGUUGUCCUGCAGAUGGAGUAGUAGGCCUUCACGUGAUCAUGUUGUCCGAUAGAUAGGGUAGCGGGCCAGCGGUUGUUGGUUACUCUCCACCAACAAGAGAGAUAGGAAUCUAUUAGAAGCCAGAGCUCCAGCUUGCUAGUUCGAUUUGAUGGCAGCAACUAACAAGACAAUGACGCUCAGCAUGAUAUGAAGAUUGCCAUCGAUAGGAAGGAUCAUCACCUGCUGUUCGCGGAGGCGAGAAAGGAUGUGGUCGACUUCUUCUCCCUACUCGUCCUACUCGUCGGCGCGACCGUCAAACUGCUGGGGAAUAAGGGCAUGGCCGACAACACCUGACCAUUGAUCUCACAUGCCAUUUUAGCUCUCUCAUUCUCUAGUCUCACCCUGACUAUUUAGGUCUCCUGACUCGCUAAUAUAAACACCAUCCUAUCAUUUGAUCUCGAAUACUUCUUUGUCACAACUCAACUGUCAGAUGAGUACUCCAUUACAACACUUACGUACAAGAGUUCUAUGAGAGCAGGCCUCCGAAAUGAAUGUCGACUAAGUGUUUAUCUACUCAGAUGAAGGACGACAAUCGUGUUCUUCGAAAAUAUCAGCGACAUAACUCCUUACUUCCUCCGCUUCUUUCUAGUGUUUUUUGUUGUGAUUGAGUCGACACAACAACAACAUUGCACUAUUACAACCAGUACGACUAUAUCAACUAACAAUGUCUUCCUUAUAUGUUACUAUUUAUUUUGCUCAUAUUCAUUAUGUUUAAAUCACAUGUGCACCUUUCUAUUGACAUCAAAAAAAUAGUAUCAACUUUCUAGAUUAAAAUGCAACUAAAAGUACCUAAAUUUCUAUCGGUGGGGAUUGAGUGAUUCUUUAAACCGAUUAUUACAUAAGUUAACCACACUAAAAUUAACAUUGGUGAAUUGUGCCAUGAUUUUUUUCUAGUGCAAAAUAGCCAAACCAAGCAACACAUAUGUGGCUAUCGUUACACAUGUGUAAAGGUAUUGCAUCACACCAUUGUCACCCAUGUAUUUGGACAAUACCGAGAGGAAAACCCACUUAUUUAUUGUAUUUUAUCAAGUUUGUCUUGCUUACGUAUAAAUUAUAACCCAACAAAGUAGUCACUAAAUGUCAAAACCAACUAGAUACCAUGUCAUCUCUACCUUAUCUUACUAAUGUUCUUUUUGCAAAAUCCAAAAUUAAUCUUGCACAAGCACAAGGACUGAUAUGUGUAUAAAUAUCUCUUAGAUUAGUAGUUAAUACAUCGCACAUAUUAUUGAGACCAACUAGCAACAUAGAAAGCACAAUAGUGUACCAACAAUGGCAGCCAAAAUAUUUUGCUUCCUUAUGCUCCUUGGUCUUUCUGCAAGUGUUGCUACCGCAACCAUUUUCCCACAAUGCUCACAAGCUCCUAUAGCUUCCCUUCUUCCCCCAUACCUCUCACCAGCGGUGUCUUCAAUGUGUGAAAACCCAAUUGUUCAACCCUACAGGAUCCAACAGGCAAUCGCAACAGGCAUCUUACCAUUAUCACCCUUGUUCCUCCAACAACCGUCAGCCCUAUUACAGCAGUUACCUUUGGUCCAUUUGGUGGCACAAAACAUCAGGGCACAACAACUACAACAACUUGUGCUAGCAAACCUUGCUGCAUACUCUCAGCAACAUCAGUUUCUUCCAUUCAACCAACUGGCUGCAUUGAACUCUGCUGCUUAUUUGCAACAACAAUUACCAUUCAGCCAGCUAGUUGCUGCCUACCCCCAGCAAUUUCUUCCAUUCAACCAACUAGCAGCAUUGAACUCUGCUGCUUAUUUACAGCAGCAACAACUACUACCAUUCAGCCAGCUAGCUGAUGUGAGCCCUGCUGCCUUCUUGACACAACAACAGUUGUUGCCGUUCUACCUGCACGCUAUGCCUAACGCUGGCACCCUCUUACAACUGCAACAAUUGCUGCCAUUCAACCAACUUGCUUUGACAAACUCAACAGUGUUCUACCAACAACCCAUCAUUGGUGGUGCCCUCUUUUAGAUUGCUUAUGAGUUAUAGUUCAAUAAUGAAGUUUUUUGGAUGAUGUUUGUGGCGUCCCAGAAAUAAGAAAGUACAUUUCUAGAUUCUUAUGUGCUUCUAGUCUCCAAAUGUGGUCGAUAGUUAUUUUGCUCUAAGAUCGGGAGUAAUGAGGUAUAAAUCAUCGUUGUGGUGUGCUACUCGGUUAAUUAAGCAUUAACACACACAAACAUGACGAGGAUGGUAUAAUCUCCAAAAAUAUGUACUUUGUUAGGUGGGACCCUAUAGCCAUGCAGAAUGUGCUAUGUUAGGCUUGCCGAUGGAAACGUGUGACGCAUACGUUUUGUGAACCUGUUGAUAUUAUAUGUGCUUUUAUAUUAUCAUAUUUUAUUAAAA